RNAcentral lists this ribosomal RNA (254 nucleotides) under uncultured bacterium. Its description in RNAcentral is "partial 16S ribosomal RNA". It matches the Rfam family "Bacterial small subunit ribosomal RNA", at positions 524 to 776 of the family's 1533-position model. The record is from RNAcentral.
UACAGAGGGAGCAAGCGUUAUCCGGAAUGAUUGGGCGUAAAGCGUUUGUAGGUGGUUCGUAAAGUUUAAUGUCAAAUACCAGGGCUCAACCCUGGACCGGCAUUGAAGCACUCACGAACUUGAGUACGGUAGAGGCAGAGGGAAUUCCUUGUGGAGCGGUGAAAUGCGUAGAGAUAAGGAGGAACACCAGUGGCGAAGGCGCUCUGCUGGGCCGAAACUGACACUGAGAAACGAAAGCUGGGGGAGCGAAUAGG